UACGGAGGGUGCAAGCGUUGUCCGGAAUCACUGGGCGUAAAGGGCGCGUAGGCGGCUCAUGAAGGCUGUGGUGAAAGUCCGGGGCUCAACCUCGGAUCGGCCGUGGCGACUCGUGGGCUGGAGCACUGUAGAGGCGGGUGGAAUUCCGGGUGUAGCGGUGGAAUGCGUAGAUAUUCGCAAGAACACCAGUGGCGAAGGCGGCUCACUGGCCCGAUACUGACGCUCAGGUGCGAAAGCCAGGGGAGCGAACGGG
RNAcentral lists this ribosomal RNA (253 nucleotides) under uncultured bacterium. RNAcentral's name for it is "partial 16S ribosomal RNA". It matches the Rfam family "Bacterial small subunit ribosomal RNA", at positions 524 to 776 of the family's 1533-position model. The record is from RNAcentral.